GACGAACGCUGGCGGCGUGCUUAACACAUGCAAGUCGAACGGAAAGGCCCUGCUUUUGUGGGGUGCUCGAGUGGCGAACGGGUGAGUAACACGUGAGUAACCUGCCCUUGACUUUUGGAUAACUUCAGGAAACUGGGGCUAAUACCGGAUAGGAGCUCCUGCUGCAUGGUGUGGGUUGGAGAGUUUCGGCGGUUGGGGAUGGACUCGCGGCUUAUCAGCUUGUUGGUGGGGUAGUGGCUUACCAAGGCUUUGACGGGUAGCCGGCCUGAGAGGGUGACCGGCCACAUUGGGACUGAGAUACGGCCCAGACUCCUACGGGAGGCAGCAGUGGGGAAUAUUGCACAAUGGGCGGAAGCCUGAUGCAGCAACGCCGCGUGCGGGAUGACGGCCUUCGGGUUGUAAACCGCUUUCGCCUGUGACGAAGCGUGAGUGACGGUAAUGGGUAAAGAAGCACCGGCUAACUACGUG
This 468-nucleotide ribosomal RNA is filed under the name uncultured bacterium. Its description in RNAcentral is "partial 16S ribosomal RNA". It matches the Rfam family "Bacterial small subunit ribosomal RNA", at positions 28 to 507 of the family's 1533-position model. The record is from RNAcentral.